This 262-nucleotide ribosomal RNA is filed under the name uncultured bacterium. Its description in RNAcentral is "partial 16S ribosomal RNA". It matches the Rfam family "Bacterial small subunit ribosomal RNA", at positions 524 to 785 of the family's 1533-position model. The record is from RNAcentral.
UACGAAGGGGGCUAGCGUUGUUCGGAAUUACUGGGCGUAAAGCGCACGUAGGCGGAUUUGUAAGUCAGGGGUGAAAUCCCGGGGCUCAACCUCGGAACUGCCUUUGAUACUGCAAGUCUCGAGUCCGAUAGAGGUGAGUGGAAUUCCUAGUGUAGAGGUGAAAUUCGUAGAUAUUAGGAAGAACACCAGUGGCGAAGGCGGCUCACUGGAUCGGUACUGACGCUGAGGUGCGAAAGCGUGGGGAGCAAACAGGGAUUAAGAU